GAUGAAGAACGCAGCGAAAUGCGAUAAGUAAUGCGAAUUGCAGAAUUCAGUGAGUCAUCGAAUCUUUGAACGCACAUUGCGCCCUGUGGUAUUCCGCAGGGCAUGCCUGUUCGAGCGUCAUUUCAACCCUCAAGCUCUGCUUGGUGUUGGGCCCUGCCCGCUCGCGGCCGGCCCUAAAGACAGUGGCGGUGCCGUCUGGCUCUAAGCGUAGUACAUCUCUCGCUCUGGUGCCCGGCGGUGUCCUGCCAGAACCCCCCAACUCUGUGGUUGACCUCGGAUCAGGUAGGGAUACCCGCUGAACUUAAGCAUAUCAUAAGCGGAGGA
Molecule: unclassified non-coding RNA, 324 nt
Filed under: soil metagenome
Description: partial contains 5.8S ribosomal RNA, internal transcribed spacer 2, and large subunit ribosomal RNA
Rfam family: 5.8S ribosomal RNA (bases 1-120)
Source: RNAcentral